AGUAGGUGGCGCUAAUACUCCUGAGGAGUGAACGACCAUUGAACAGAAAGAAGAAGAAGAAGAAGAAGAAGAAGAAGAAGUGUUGAAAUCGAAAGUAAACUCGAGAGUAAACGCGCAUUUUGAAGACUUAAAAUCCUUCUCUUCAGAUCUCAGAGCUGUCGAGGAGCUGAACUCGCAGCGCUGGCUGUAGCAGUGAUUCUCAUCGAGAGGAGAAGCUCUGGAUCGAGUUCACAGUAGGGGGCGGUAAUGCGCGAGAUUAGUGCGAUCCGCCAAAACAAAGAAGAAGAAGAAGUAGAGUGUUGUAACCAAAAAGAAAAACCGAAAGUAAACUCGAAAGUAAACUCGAGAGUAAACGCACAUGUUGAAGAGUUAAAAUCCUUCUCUUCAGAUCUCAGAGUUGUCGCAGACCUCAAAUCAGUUCUUCAUCAUGGAGAUCAGUGAUCUCCAGAUCCCAGCUGUGUGUCUCUGAAGAGUGACGCAUCCAUGAUGAAGCCUCCUAACCUCAGUGCUGAACCAGUGACCUCUGACCCCAGAGUCAGCAGGAGGAAGAGGAAGAUAU
Long non-coding RNA from Cyprinus carpio (common carp), 559 nucleotides. RefSeq lists it as uncharacterized. The record is from RefSeq and is a predicted model, not a curated record. Lineage: Eukaryota; Metazoa; Chordata; Actinopteri; Cypriniformes; Cyprinidae. The transcript has 4 exons.